AGGGCGGCGAGUAGGGGAGGAGGAGGCGGCGACAUUGGGCGCCGGAGGGAUGAGGAGGAGAAGAAGAGAGGCGGCGGAGGAGGAGGAGGGACCGGAGCUGCGGCGGCCUUAACGGCGGCAUCGCUUCGUGAGACGGCGGCGGAGGGAGUGCGCGACGGUGGCGACGCCGGUUGCAGGGAUUGGAGCUGGAGUGAGAAGUGAAGAACCCUA
This 210-nucleotide long non-coding RNA is filed under the name Eucalyptus grandis. RNAcentral describes it as "long non-coding RNA (EGRA_LNC007599)". The record is from RNAcentral. Lineage: Eukaryota; Viridiplantae; Streptophyta; Magnoliopsida; Myrtales; Myrtaceae.